Molecule: ribosomal RNA, 165 nt
Filed under: Aeromonas salmonicida subsp. salmonicida 01-B526
Lineage: Bacteria; Pseudomonadati; Pseudomonadota; Gammaproteobacteria; Aeromonadales; Aeromonadaceae
Description: partial 16S ribosomal RNA
Rfam family: Bacterial small subunit ribosomal RNA
Source: RNAcentral
GACGGGUGAGUAACGCGUGGGAACGUGCCCUUCUCUACGGAAUAGCCCCGGGAAACUGGGAGUAAUACCGUAUACGCCCUUUGGGGGAAAGAUUUAUCGGAGAAGGAUCGGCCCGCGUUGGAUUAGGUAGUUGGUGGGGUAAUGGCCCACCAAGCCGACGAUCCA